This 685-nucleotide ribosomal RNA is filed under the name Escherichia coli. Its description in RNAcentral is "partial 23S ribosomal RNA". It matches the Rfam family "Bacterial large subunit ribosomal RNA", at positions 2114 to 2798 of the family's 2925-position model. Lineage: Bacteria; Pseudomonadati; Pseudomonadota; Gammaproteobacteria; Enterobacterales; Enterobacteriaceae. The record is from RNAcentral.
ACACUGAACAUUGAGCCUUGAUGUGUAGGAUAGGUGGGAGGCUUUGAAGUGUGGACGCCAGUCUGCAUGGAGCCGACCUUGAAAUACCACCCUUUAAUGUUUGAUGUUCUAACGUUGACCCGUGAUCCGGGUUGCGGACAGUGUCUGGUGGGUAGUUUGACUGGGGCGGUCUCCUCCUAAAGAGUAACGGAGGAGCACGAAGGUUGGCUAAUCCUGGUCGGACAUCAGGAGGUUAGUGCAAUGGCAUAAGCCAGCUUGACUGCGAGCGUGACGGCGCGAGCAGGUGCGAAAGCAGGUCAUAGUGAUCCGGUGGUUCUGAAUGGAAGGGCCAUCGCUCAACGGAUAAAAGGUACUCCGGGGAUAACAGGCUGAUACCGCCCAAGAGUUCAUAUCGACGGCGGUGUUUGGCACCUCGAUGUCGGCUCAUCACAUCCUGGGGCUGAAGUAGGUCCCAAGGGUAUGGCUGUUCGCCAUUUAAAGUGGUACGCGAGCUGGGUUUAGAACGUCGUGAGACAGUUCGGUCCCUAUCUGCCGUGGGCGCUGGAGAACUGAGGGGGGCUGCUCCUAGUACGAGAGGACCGGAGUGGACGCAUCACUGGUGUUCGGGUUGUCAUGCCAAUGGCACUGCCCGGUAGCUAAAUGCGGAAGAGAUAAGUGCUGAAAGCAUCUAAGCACGAAACUUGCC